ACUGUCUGCUUCUCUCAGCUGCACUUAGAUCCUGAGGGCAGAACCUACAAGCACCCAUGGGGAGAGAAAAAAAUGGAAGGGAAGAAACACUUAAAUAAUAAAGGAAAUUUUCCCAGAGUUGAAUAAAUACGUGAGGACUUUUAAUUGAAAAGGUCUACCAACCGUGAAAGAAAGAACUUCCAGUAAAGUAAGAAACAAGGCUGCUUCCUGCUCACUGACGGCUACAAAUGUCAAAAGAAGUCAAGGAGACAUCACAGAUGAGAGGAAAGGAGACUUUUAGCCAGAUUUGGGCUAUGUCCUGGUUCUGCUGUUACUAGCUGGAAGACCCCUCACUUCUUUUCAGCCUCAUUUUCCUGAUGUAAAACAGGGAUAACGAUUCCUUCUCCAGAGCUGUGAGGCUGAAAGGUAAUAAUGAAUCCAAUGAUUGGUAAAGAAACUGGCACAGUAAGAGUUCAACAAAUGCUGGCCAUGAUACACAAAGUGAUUAGGAAAGGAGGUGAGACCUCAGACUAUUGCACAAUG
This is a long non-coding RNA of Choloepus didactylus (southern two-toed sloth), 522 nucleotides long. RefSeq lists it as uncharacterized. NCBI's taxonomy places the organism in Eukaryota, Metazoa, Chordata, Mammalia, Pilosa, Megalonychidae. The transcript has 3 exons. The record is from RefSeq and is a predicted model, not a curated record.